RNAcentral lists this ribosomal RNA (477 nucleotides) under uncultured bacterium. RNAcentral's name for it is "bacterial SSU rRNA". It matches the Rfam family "Bacterial small subunit ribosomal RNA", at positions 24 to 518 of the family's 1533-position model. The record is from RNAcentral.
UCAGGACGAACGCUGGCGGCGUGCCUAACACAUGCAAGUCGAGCGAGGAGAUCCUUCGGGAUGAUCCUAGCGGCGGACGGGUGAGUAACACGUGGGCAACCUGCCUCAUAGAGAGGAAUAGCCUUCCGAAAGGGAGAUUAAUACCUCAUAACAUUGCAGUUUCGCAUGGAACAGCAAUUAAAGGAGUAAUCCGCUAUGAGAUGGGCCCGCGGCGCAUUAGCUAGUUGGUGAGGUAACGGCUCACCAAGGCGACGAUGCGUAGCCGACCUGAGAGGGUGAUCGGCCACAUUGGGACUGAGACACGGCCCAGACUCCUACGGGAGGCAGCAGUGGGGAAUAUUGCACAAUGGGGGAAACCCUGAUGCAGCCAACGCCGCGUGAGUGAUGACGGCCUUCGGGUUGUAAAGCUCUGUCUUCAGGGACGAUAAUGACGGUACCUGAGGAGGAAGCCACGGCUAACUACGUGCCAGCAGCUGC